GAUGAACGCUGGCGGCGUGCCUAAUACAUGCAAGUCGAGCGAACGGACGAGAAGCUUGCUUCUCUGAUGUUAGCGGCGGACGGGUGAGUAACACGUGGAUAACCUACCUAUAAGACUGGGAUAACUUCGGGAAACCGGAGCUAAUACCGGAUAAUAUUUUGAACCGCAUGGUUCAAAAGUGAAAGACGGUCUUGCUGUCACUUAUAGAUGGAUCCGCGCUGCAUUAGCUAGUUGGUAAGGUAACGGCUUACCAAGGCAACGAUGCAUAGCCGACCUGAGAGGGUGAUCGGCCACACUGGAACUGAGACACGGUCCAGACUCCUACGGGAGGCAGCAGUAGGGAAUCUUCCGCAAUGGGCGAAAGCCUGACGGAGCAACGCCGCGUGAGUGAUGAAGGUCUUCGGAUCGUAAAACUCUGUUAUUAGGGAAGAACAUAUGUGUAAGUAACUGUACACAUCUUGACGGUACCUAAUCAGAAAGCCACGGCUAACUACG
RNAcentral lists this ribosomal RNA (495 nucleotides) under uncultured bacterium. Its description in RNAcentral is "partial 16S ribosomal RNA". It matches the Rfam family "Bacterial small subunit ribosomal RNA", at positions 28 to 505 of the family's 1533-position model. The record is from RNAcentral.